AGUCUCGUAGCUCAGCAGGUUAGAGCGUUACACUGAUAAUGUAGAGGUCGGCAGUUCGAGUCUGCCCGAGACUA
RNAcentral lists this transfer RNA (74 nucleotides) under Flavobacteriaceae bacterium. RNAcentral's name for it is "tRNA-Ile". It matches the Rfam family "tRNA". From Rfam's summary of the family: Transfer RNA (tRNA) molecules are approximately 80 nucleotides in length. Their secondary structure includes four short double-helical elements and three loops (D, anti-codon, and T loops). Further hydrogen bonds mediate the characteristic L-shaped molecular structure. tRNAs have two regions of fundamental functional importance: the anti-codon, which is responsible for specific mRNA codon recognition, and the 3' end, to which the tRNAs corresponding amino acid is attached (by aminoacyl-tRNA synthetases). tRNAs cope with the degeneracy of the genetic code in two manners: having more than one tRNA (with a specific anti-codon) for a particular amino acid; and 'wobble' base-pairing, i.e. permitting non-standard base-pairing at the 3rd anti-codon position. The record is from RNAcentral. Lineage: Bacteria; Pseudomonadati; Bacteroidota; Flavobacteriia; Flavobacteriales; Flavobacteriaceae.